CCCUUUUAGGGGGGGACCCUUGGGUCCGGGGUUGAGGAAGAACCCAGCAACGUGGGGUUCUUGGUGGAAUUGCAGGACACCAGAACAUCGACAUUUUGAACGCAAAUCGCAGUCCAUGCUGUUUGUACUUUAAUUAAUUUAUAGUGCUGCUUGGACUACAUAUGGUUGAGGGUUG
This 175-nucleotide ribosomal RNA is filed under the name Drosophila virilis. RNAcentral describes it as "5.8S ribosomal RNA". It matches the Rfam family "5.8S ribosomal RNA". Rfam says of the family: 5.8S ribosomal RNA (5.8S rRNA) is a component of the large subunit of the eukaryotic ribosome. It is transcribed by RNA polymerase I as part of the 45S precursor that also contains 18S and 28S rRNA. Lineage: Eukaryota; Metazoa; Arthropoda; Insecta; Diptera; Drosophilidae. The record is from Rfam by way of RNAcentral.